AGAGUUUGAUCCUGGCUCAGGACGAACGCUGGCGGCGUGCCUAAUACAUGCAAGUCGAGCGAAUCAGAAGAAGCUUGCUUCUUUUGGUUAGCGGCGGACGGGUGAGUAACACGUGGGCAACCUGCCUGUAAGACUGGGAUAACUUCGGGAAACCGGAGCUAAUACCGGAUAAUCCUUUUCCUCACAUGAGCAAAAGCUGAAAGACGGCGCAAGCUGUCACUUACAGAUGGGCCCGCGGCGCAUUAGCUAGUUGGUGAGGUAACGGCUCACCAAGGCGACGAUGCGUAGCCGACCUGAGAGGGUGAUCGGCCACACUGGGACUGAGACACGGCCCAGACUCCUACGGGAGGCAGCAGUAGGGAAUCUUCCGCAAUGGACGAAAGUCUGACGGAGCAACGCCGCGUGAGCGAUGAAGGCCUUCGGGUCGUAAAGCUCUGUUGUUAGGGAAGAACAAGUAUCGGAGUAACUGCCGGUACCUUGACGGUACCUAACCAGAAAGCCACGGCUAACUACGUGCCAGCAGCCGCGGUAAUACGUAGGUGGCAAGCGUUGUCCGGAAUUAUUGGGCGUAAAGCGCGCGCAGGCGGUUCCUUAAGUCUGAUGUGAAAGCCCCCGGCUCAACCGGGGAGGGUCAUUGGAAACUGGGGAACUUGAGUACUGAAGAGGAAAGCGGAAUUCCACGUGUAGCAGUGAAAUGCGUAGAUAUGUGGAGGAACACCAAUGGCGAAGGCAGCCCCCUGGGAUAACACUGACGCUCAUGCACGAAAGCGUGGGGAGCAAACAGGAUUAGAUACCCUGGUAGUCCACGCCCUAAACGAUGUCAACUAGUUGUUGGGGAUUUACUUCCUUGGUAACGUAGCUAACGCGUGAAGUUGACCGCCUGGGGAGUACGGCCGCAAGGUUAAAACUCAAAGGAAUUGACGGGGACCCGCACAAGCGGUGGAUGAUGUGGAUUAAUUCGAUGCAACGCGAAAAACCUUACCUACCCUUGACAUGGCAGGAACUUUCCAGAGAUGGAUUGGUGCUCGAAAGAGAACCUGCACACAGGUGCUGCAUGGCUGUCGUCAGCUCGUGUCGUGAGAUGUUGGGUUAAGUCCCGCAACGAGCGCAACCCUUGUCAUUAGUUGCUACGAAAGGGCACUCUAAUGAGACUGCCGGUGACAAACCGGAGGAAGGUGGGGAUGACGUCAAGUCCUCAUGGCCCUUAUGGGUAGGGCUUCACACGUCAUACAAUGGUCGGUACAGAGGGUUGCCAAGCCGCGAGGUGGAGCCAAUCCCAGAAAACCGAUCGUAGUCCGGAUCGCAGUCUGCAACUCGACUGCGUGAAGUCGGAAUCGCUAGUAAUCGCGGAUCAGAAUGCCGCGGUGAAUACGUUCCCGGGUCUUGUACACACCGCCCGUCACACCAUGGGAGUGGGUUCUACCAGAAGUGGCUAGUCUAACCGCAAGGAGGACGGUCACCACGGUAGGAUUCAUGACUGGGGUGAAGUCGUAACAAGGUAGCCGU
This 1506-nucleotide ribosomal RNA is filed under the name uncultured bacterium. RNAcentral's name for it is "partial 16S ribosomal RNA". It matches the Rfam family "Bacterial small subunit ribosomal RNA". The record is from RNAcentral.